Molecule: long non-coding RNA, 3835 nt
Organism: Musa acuminata AAA Group (dessert banana)
Lineage: Eukaryota; Viridiplantae; Streptophyta; Magnoliopsida; Zingiberales; Musaceae
Exons: 3
Source: RefSeq, a predicted model, not a curated record
GUGCGGAUCCAUGUAUUGCUCUUGACCCGGGCAAGAUCCGACCCGGAAUACUGGGCCGGGCUUCUUGUCGUGUGUAAUUGUCUCUAGAAGGUUCUUCGCUAAGUCGCCAGUUCCGUAAAGAUACAUAUAUCGUCGGUAGACUAAUGCCAUGGUUCCGUCGCCUGGUCACAUCCCGCCUCUACCCUCACCGUCUUUGAAUCCGAGCUCCAGCACAAGGUAGGUAAAGCUAUGGGCAAUCCAAUUGAUCCCGGGAUAUUCCAUCCUUGCAACUUGGUGGUCUCUUCUUUCUGUCCCUACCUCCCAAAGAAUUUUUUUAAAAAAUAUAUGUAAUUUCUUAAUCAGGGACUAGAGGAGUUGAUAGAGUUUCCUCUGUAGGAUGAGGAAUACAACUUAUCCUUGCCUUAUUGGCAAGUUUAUGAGCUAAGAAAUUCGUUUGUCUGUCGAUAUGAAUCCAGUCUAAGACAUUGACCUCCUUAGCUAUCAUGUGAAUAUCCUUACAAAUGUUAUACAAGAACCCAGGAGUAGAAUUUGAUUGGUUGAGGAUGAGAUUUAUUUCUAGUGUAUCAGACUUGUCAACAAGAUUCUACAGGUUCAUUGAUUGCAAGUGCUGCAGGCUUGAUGUGAGUUACUGCUGGUGGCAAUCUCGACCCCAUCUAAGUUUAAAGACAGGAGAGUAAAAUGAGUAUGAACCAUCACAAAAAAUGAGAGCUUGUAGGUUCCCUGGAGUAUGGAGAAGUUUGUGGGGGAGGUAGGGGACAUGAUUUCUCUCUGGAGGGAAGGUUGACAUCGUUGAAGAGUGACAAGACUUUAAACUAUAGAGAGGAUUGUUGGAUUCGAUGAUUUGAGUAUUUAGAAUGGCAAGGUGAGCAUUAUGACUCAAGUGAGUUCUUUCCUUCAAGCAAGAAUCAGUGGGACAGUCAUUCAAGAAUUUGAAGGUGCAUGUUUGGAUUAAAAAAUAUUCCAGGUUGCGACAUGCUGAAGGGUCUGCGCACUCUAGAAAAGCUAGUACUACAGGCCUCCCAGUCGCAUAUGAUCAAAUUCACAAGAGCAUACUGAAUUAUGAUGGCUCACGCUAGAAAUAGUUGUUGGCUCUAAACACGCACGGAAACAACAGAACCUUAGAGCAAGUGAUAGAAGGUGGUGAAAGUGAGAACACCUUGCUAUUAUGAUGAUCUUUAUCGAUUAGCCCAAGUAGUAACUUAAAAAAUGGGUAAGGGUUAGUAAUUUAAGAUUAAGCUGAAUAUAUAUAUAUAUAUAUAUAUAUAUAUAUAUAUAUAUAUAUAUAUAUAUAUAUAUAUAUAGAGAGAGAGAGAGAGAGAGAGAGAGAGAGAGAGAGAGAGAGAGAGAACACAUUUGACAGAGUUAUCCUGAUUCUACUAGUUAAGGUGCCUAGCCCCUUGUACAGAAAUGCCAACUUGAAUGGUGGGUUAUCUUGAUCCUAGAAGUCUUGCGAAUAUGCAUCGCCCCUUGCACAGUAAUACCAACAGGAAUGGUGGGUCAGGUUCUUGUUUGUAGGGAACCUGGACAAGGGUUGCUGGCCAAUUGAAGUUUUAUAAUGAUGUUUCUAUAGUAUAGGAUCUCCUUUAGCUGUAUCAUUUUUAUCUAUUCUCUUAUCUGCAACAUGGAUAUAUGUUCAGAUAUAGAUGUGUAAUCUGGAUUCUUCCCCACAUCUCAUGACUAUCCAGUUGCAUUGAUCAACUUGUGGGCGAUUCUAGAGUUGAAAUGGUGGGGUAUUUAACUCUAUAAAUCAAUUUAAAUCGGUUUUCUGUGUCUAUUUCAGACCCAUAUCUUUAUCUCAGUUGAGCAGAAUUUUCUUGAUAUGGAUGCAACGUUGGGAAUCCGUUAAGGUCUGGAUAUUUUGCAAAGUUGGAUGUAGAUUAAUUAAAGCCAUGAUAUGAGAAUAUGUUUAGAAAUAUCAUCAUUACAAAUUAGUUCUUUGUGAUUUGGAUUCUGCAUAUAUUUAUAUAUUGGCGCAAUAUAUAUUUAUAUAUUGGAACAACCUUUUUCGACUUGGUUCCAUUUGAUUUUUCUGAACUUUUCAAUUAACUUUGAAUAAAUUUUUACAUGAUUGUUUAUGGAAUAUAAUUACACGGUAAUUGUUUUUAACAACAUGGGAAACGUAUUGCCUUUAACCGAUUUGGUUGGAGUAACGAUCGAUUUUCAUUGAAUCCUACAAUAGUGGAGUCAGAACGGGUUAAGAGUGAGAGCUCAACACAGUUAUCACCCCAUUAAGAGUAGAGGUUACAUUGUAUAGUUGUCCUUCAUAGCUGGCUAUAGUAAUUCCCACACCUGGCCCCAUGUCUUUGCUUAUUAGUUAAGACCAUCAACGGUCCUGGAAUUCGUAUCAACUUCCGCGUAGAUAUGAAGCAUACGAGGACAGCCUCCUGGCAUGCCGGAGCAUCCACCAAUUUCAGACCAUCCACUAUCUGGGAUGCACGGAGCUCAUAUGUGUCCCACCACACCAGAAGCCACAGCUCAAAAUAUCUUCUAAUAAAACACUCGCUAUUUAUCGUUCGAAGGCGCACGGCCAUUCCAACACGUAAAUGAAGUCUCUCACGAAUGGUUACGGGCCACGGCAUCGCGCAUGCAUGACCGCAGAUGGUAAGCACGCGACACCUGGUGGGGCGAAAUAGGUAACUGGAGCAGAAGCGUCGGCAAUACCGACUCGAAGAUGCGAUGCAUGCACACUGAAGGCCACUCUUGGAAGAUGUGAAAGCGUGGUGGGAGCUGAUGGCCAACGUCCCGCCUCAACGUGACGCGUCGCAUCAUUCGCAGUGCCACCAAGAUAAGAAGGUGAAGCCACUCUUUCAUCUCAAAUAAUAAAAGGACAUAAAAAAACAGAGAGAAAAAUAAAGACAAAAAAAUAGUAGGGGAUGUAAUUCCCAAGACCCAAUCAACUUGAUUUCUGAUACUAAGAAGAGGGGAUAAUAUGCCAAGAAGAUUCCACAGAAGUAGACCAUCCCCCCAUCUUUUGAACGGAGAAGACGGGGAAGAAGGAAUCCUAGUGGUGGAAAACGCUGCUACAAAACUAAACAAUUGUAGUUGACUGACCCCACGUAGAUUCUCGUUCAGCACGUAAUGUGUUGGUGGACUCCUUGUCAUAUCCCUCGGGGAAUAUUACUUCGUACAAACCAAAGUUCGAAUUCAACAACUGUCGCAUAUAGGAACAUGUGUUCUUACAUGUUAUGGAACCAACCUUUAAGCUUGGAUGUAAGUUGGCUGGCAGGUAUUUUCGUCCUCUUUUCAUAUGGAAAUGACUAAUAACUUUAAGAUGCAAUAGAUGGGAAGUUAUCCUGGCAACCUUUGAUUGUCGAAUGCCCGAAACCAAUCUGAAUUCUUUCAUCCAUGAAUGUUUGAGGACUCCAUCGAAGUAAGAAAACACAAAAAAAGGGAAUCUAAUCGACCUUUACGUAUCAAGGUUUGCCGCCACGCUGGAAACCAAAGGAGAAGGGCAUUUUCGGUAAUUUCGUAUUACUUUAUUCUUCUUCGGAGGGGCCCGCUUCAUGACUACACCUCCCGUCGUUUCCUACGCGGCGCCCAUCCCUUACGUUCGGCUCACUGCUUCCAAUGACUGCCGUGCUUUUAACCUUCACUCGGUCUCCUCACCAUUAACUUUUGCCUAAGCAAUCGUGAAGAGUACGUCAACCGCCCCUGCUCGAAAGCAGAGGAGAGGACGCGUCAACUGUCCUAAACCGAAUCGGAUCGUUUGGCUAACCAAACCGAUCGUAUAUGAAUUAGUGAAUGCGAAUUCCAAUUACUAAUAUUAUUAAUGUUAUACGUUUGGUUGUUUCGGACCCCUUGCGUCUCACGCUUUGCUUUCCUUUUGUCCUAUAAA